CUGCAGUCAAUGAAGCCAACUGGGUUCCUCUGCUGGCAGGUGCCCAGGGCAUUGGCUGCAAACAGCAGCUUCCUCAGGAGCUUACAUGACCUGUGGCUUGUAUGUGCUACCCUAAGAGACCUUGGAGACACUG
Small nucleolar RNA from Fukomys damarensis (Damara mole-rat), 133 nucleotides. Its record names the gene SNORA70. It matches the Rfam family "Small nucleolar RNA SNORA70". From Rfam's summary of the family: snoRNA U70 seems to be exclusive to mammals and is a member of the H/ACA class of snoRNA which contain H (ANANNA) and ACA box motifs. Lineage: Eukaryota; Metazoa; Chordata; Mammalia; Rodentia; Bathyergidae. The record is from Ensembl.